This 179-nucleotide ribosomal RNA is filed under the name uncultured soil bacterium. RNAcentral's name for it is "partial 16S ribosomal RNA". It matches the Rfam family "Bacterial small subunit ribosomal RNA", at positions 30 to 216 of the family's 1533-position model. The record is from RNAcentral.
GGCCUGAACGCUGGCGGCGUGGCUAAGACAUGCAAGUCGCACGGGGUAGCAAUACCCAGUGGCGAACGGGAGAGUAAUGAAUCGCUAACGUACCCCGGACUCUGGGAUAGCUAUCCGAAAGGGUAGGUAAUACCAGAUGAUAUAACCGCACGGCAUCGUGUGGUUCUCAAAGGUCCGCC